UACGGGGGAUGCAAGCGUUGUCCGGAAUCAUUGGGCGUAAAGAGUUCGUAGGUGGUUUAUUAAGUCUGGUGUUAAAUGCAGAGGCUCAACUUCUGUUCGGCACUGGAUACUGGUAGACUUGAAUGCGAUAGAGGUAAAGGGAAUUCCUGGUGUAGCGGUGAAAUGCGUAGAUAUCAGGAGGAACAUCGGUGGCGAAAGCGCUUUACUGGGCCGUAAUUGACACUGAGGAAACGAAAGCCAGGGUAGCAAAUGGG
RNAcentral lists this ribosomal RNA (254 nucleotides) under uncultured bacterium. Its description in RNAcentral is "partial 16S ribosomal RNA". It matches the Rfam family "Bacterial small subunit ribosomal RNA", at positions 524 to 776 of the family's 1533-position model. The record is from RNAcentral.